Molecule: long non-coding RNA, 905 nt
Filed under: Homo sapiens (human)
Lineage: Eukaryota; Metazoa; Chordata; Mammalia; Primates; Hominidae
Description: HSALNT0307553
Source: RNAcentral
AUUCUUUUGUCCUGCUUCAGAAUCAUAUCAGCCUUUGUCCAAGUUAUUUUAGGUUCAGGUUUUCCGGUUACGGUGGCAGGAAGUUCAAUCUUGGUCCCAGCUUUUACAGUGAGACCAGCAAGGAGCUUCACAUCGAGGAAGAUUUCUGGGGCCUCUGAAUUGGAAAAGAUUAUUUAUGAUGUUAUCAAGUUCAAGCAGAUUUAAGGUUCUCCACAGGCAACCCAUUUAUCAGAACCACGUGGACAUCUUUCAACUAUAUAUCCUUUGAUGCGUGAACCACCAUCAUUUUUAGGUGGAUCCCAUGUUAAGAAGAUGCUAUUGGCUGUUCGAUCUCUCCAUUUAACAUUCUCUGGCCUAAUAUCUGGAUUUCAUGCAGUAAUUAUUUCCCUUUUUUGAUGGGCUUACCAAUUGGAUCAGCAACUUUGACGAAGGGUGUGGCUGCACUUGGUUUUCCAACUCCAAUUCGAUUUUGGGCUCUCACUCGGAAACUGUACUCCUGUCCUUCUACCACAUCAGUAACAGUUGCAGACAGGUCUUCAGCUCUCACAGUCAUGGCAGUAUCCCACCUGAUAGAAGUCUUGUCUCUUAAUUCAAUGACGUAGUUUGUGAUCUCAGCACCUCCAUCAUACUCUGGUGGUUCCCAUGUCAGUGAGACACCAAAUCGAUUCACAUCAGUGAUGGUUACAUUCAAAGGAGGGCCUGGAACAUCUGGAUUUCACCACAGAAGAAGAAAAUAUGAGUUUGGGGUAACGAUGAUGAAGGCAAAGACUGCAAUUUACUUAAAAGCUAACUUGAAUUUACUUAAAACUUCUUACCAUAUUUACUCCUUGCUUCUACAGGAUUGUCAGUUUCUACUGGCUCACCAGUGCCAACUCUGUUUCUUGCACUCACACGGAAUAGGUACU